Molecule: ribosomal RNA, 463 nt
Filed under: uncultured bacterium
Lineage: Bacteria
Description: bacterial SSU rRNA
Rfam family: Bacterial small subunit ribosomal RNA
Source: RNAcentral
AACGAACGCUGGCGGCGUGGCUAAGACAUGCAAGUCGAACGGACUGUCCAAUUUAUUGAACAGUUAGUGGCGAAAGGGUUAGUAACGGAUGGGUAACGUACCCUGUGCUUUGGGAUAGCGUCAUCCCGAUUUAUCGGGAUUUCCGAAAGGGGCGGUAAUACCAAAUAAUAUCAUUUGUCGAUAGGCAGAUGACCAAAGAUUUAUCGGCACAGGAGCGGCCUGUCUCCUAUCAGCUUGUUGGUGAGGUAAUGGCUCACCAAGGCAUCGACGGGUAGCGGGACUGAGAGGUUGACCCGCAACAUCGGGACUGAGACACUGCCCGGACCUCCACGGAGGGCUGCAGUAACGGAUAUUGUGCAAUGGGCGAAAGCCUGACACAGCGACGCCGCGUGUAGGAGGAAGUCUUUCGGGAUGUAAACUACUGUCAGGGGGAAGAAAGUGCGCUUCGGCGUAUUGAUCUAAC